GAUGAACGCUGGCGGCGUGCCUAAUACAUGCAAGUCGAGCGAACGGACGAGAAGCUUGCUUUUCUGAUGUUAGCGGCGGACGGGUGAGUAACACGUGGAUAACCUACCUAUAAGACUGGGAUAACUUCGGGAAACCGGAGCUAAUACCGGAUAAUAUUUUGAACCGCAUGGUUCAAAAGUGAAAGACGGUCUUGCUGUCACUUAUAGAUGGAUCCGCGCUGCAUUAGCUAGUUGGUAAGGUAACGGCUUACCAAGGCAACGAUGCAUAGCCGACCUGAGAGGGGGGUUGGCCACCACGGGAACUGAGACCCGGCCCAAACCCCACGGGGGGGGAGAGGGAGGGAACUUUCCGCAAUGGGCGAAAGCCUGACGGAGAAACGCCGGGUGAGUGAUGAAGGUUUUCGGAUCGUAAAACUUUUUUUUUGGGGAAAAAAAAAUGUGUAAGUAAUGGUCAAAAUCUUGACGAUACCAAAGCAAAAAGCCCCGGUAAACUACGG
This 497-nucleotide ribosomal RNA is filed under the name uncultured bacterium. Its description in RNAcentral is "partial 16S ribosomal RNA". It matches the Rfam family "Bacterial small subunit ribosomal RNA", at positions 28 to 506 of the family's 1533-position model. The record is from RNAcentral.